UACAGAGGGUGCGAGCGUUGUCCGGAAUUAUUGGGCGUAAAGAGCUCGUAGGCGGCCUGUUACGUCUGCUGUGAAAUCCCGGGGCUUAACCCCGGGCGUGCAGUGGAUACGGGCAGGCUGGAGGCAGGCAGGGGAGAACGGAAUUCCCGGUGUAGCGGUGAAAUGCGCAGAUAUCGGGAGGAACACCGGUGGCGAAGGCGGUUCUCUGGGCCUGUACUGACGCUGAGGAGCGAAAGCGUGGGGAGCGAACAGG
This 253-nucleotide ribosomal RNA is filed under the name uncultured bacterium. Its description in RNAcentral is "partial 16S ribosomal RNA". It matches the Rfam family "Bacterial small subunit ribosomal RNA", at positions 524 to 776 of the family's 1533-position model. The record is from RNAcentral.